RNAcentral lists this signal recognition particle RNA (94 nucleotides) under Clostridia bacterium. Its description in RNAcentral is "signal recognition particle sRNA small type". It matches the Rfam family "Bacterial small signal recognition particle RNA". Rfam says of the family: The signal recognition particle (SRP) is a universally conserved ribonucleoprotein involved in the co-translational targeting of proteins to membranes. Archaeal SRP consists of a 7S RNA and homologues of the eukaryotic SRP19 and SRP54 proteins. In most bacteria, the SRP consists of a 4.5S RNA and the Ffh protein (a homologue of the eukaryotic SRP54 protein). Lineage: Bacteria; Bacillati; Bacillota; Clostridia. The record is from RNAcentral.
UACGAGUGGUGUACGAUAGAUGGUUGUGAACCUCGUCAGAUCCGGAAGGAAGCAGCGAUAAACAGUUUAAUCUAUGUGUUCACCAUUCAUAUAA